CUCUAUCCCCAAGAAAAAGGCCCGUUUUACUCCUUAACUAUGCUAUGUUAUCCUUUUUUUGUCAGCGGUUCCAAAUUCGGUAAGUUUCUCAUUCACUCCACUCUUUCACAAAUGGAUCGGAGCAUAAAUGUUUCUCUCUUAUCACAAGUCAAGUCUUGUGAUAUAUACGCACAAAUGCACACCUAUGAGCAAGGAAUCCCCAUUUGAAUCAUUUAAUUUACAGUCCAUAUGAUUUACUUAAACUUACAAAGUCUUCUUUUUGAAGAUGCAAGAAAUUCCCGGGCCUGGGUACGACUUUGUAAUGCUUUUUGAAUCUCUUUAAUUGACAUAAACUCAAGCCCUCUAGUAGUAUAGAGAUGAUGCAUCGGGAAAGGUCGGGAUAGCUCAGCUGGUAGAGCAGAGGACUGAAAAUCCUCG
RNAcentral lists this unclassified non-coding RNA (417 nucleotides) under Lardizabala biternata. RNAcentral's name for it is "partial contains tRNA-Leu and trnL-trnF intergenic spacer". The stretch from base 374 to 417 matches the Rfam family "tRNA", at positions 1 to 43 of the family's 71-position model. The record is from RNAcentral. Lineage: Eukaryota; Viridiplantae; Streptophyta; Magnoliopsida; Ranunculales; Lardizabalaceae.